GAGUGCAUGCGGGAAUUGGAAAUAGAUGUCCUGCCCAUGGAGGCCAGAGAGCUGUGUCCACAAAAGGACAGGGUGUGACCAGCCAGAGUUGCCGGAGUUUUGGCAACUUGUGUCUUCCAUAAUAGAGCUGGGGCAUUGAUGGAAAUGGAGGGUGCUAGAACCUUGUGACUUUGGCCAGGCACCAAUCAUCUGCCUCCUUCUGUGCCUGCCUGGCUGCCCCUACCCUGGGGCUCCCUCCUAGCCCCCACCUCACCUACUGGCUCACUGAGACAGAGCCAAACAUGAAAGGGAAGGUGACGGCCUGGCCAUAGGGCCCAGGAAAAUGCAGGUAUCAUUAACAGCCUGGAGCACUGUGGCCUGUCCACUCUCAACCCUCUGCUGCCCACCCCUUCCUGGAAUAGACCCCAGGCCACAUACAGAGGGGGCAAGCCCAAGGACUCAACUGGCCCUCCGAACGCUAUCCCACUUUCCAGCCAGGAUUGAAGGAGAUCCCAUCUUGGGUCUAAAGGAAUGGGGGUGAAGACUGCAUCUUGUCGUUCCAGUUCCACCCCAUUCUGGCAUGGGAAGCAUGUGUGGGCUUCUACUCUAUGGGAGAUUCAUAGCCUCAAUCCUUAAGGAAUUCUCAAUCUGAAAGGAAAACACAAACCCUGACCUCAGGGAGCUCCCAGUUUGACAGUGGAGACAGAGAGGCCCUGCAUCAAGUAGAAAAACAACCCCCACUGCUCUCAAGCACACAGCAAUGAAGAUAUGUAUCCUUGGUGCUACAGGCAAAUGCUGACGAUACGACAGUGAAUACAACAUGAAAAAACAAGCACACUUCUCACCCCUAUGGAGCUUUAUUCUGGUCAGGCAGAAGGAGAAGGAAAUGUAAACAUGCAAGGAGCAACUUUUUGGCACUCCCAUUUUGCAGAAGAGGAAACAGCCUGCCUAGGUCUGCUGAUUCCUGUCCUGGUGAGCUCACUGCCCCAUACUCCCACCCUUGUACACAAAUGGAGGUGCUCUUACAGAAGUUCUGAGCCUGAUUCUGCUGCUGCUUCUCCAGCUAACCUUAGGUACAACUCUCCCCCUCCCAAGGCCUCAGUUUCCUCAUCUAGGUAAUGGGAAUCCUAAUGCCUUUCUUUUCUCUGCAUAGGCUUAAACCAGAUGGCCCAUGACAAGCCCUUCCAAUUCCCGUGUCCCAGAGAUGCCAAAUUUGAGCCCCAGUCACCCACCAUGAACCUGCCACCUAUUCCAGGAACCUGGCCAGGAAGCCCAGGAUGGGCUUCUUACCUUGUCUUCCCAUUGGGGUGGGUCUCAGAGGAGGCCAAGCUGGGCAGAGCUCUCUCUCUCAUUGGCCCUCAGGUACCACCCCCAUUAGUGCUGACUUACAGCUUUGCACUGCUGCUGACAUCAGCACCCAUCUGUCUGUUGUGGUAAGAGAGGCCUCCUAGGGAAACAGGUUUGCUAAAUCUCAGCCAGGAAGGACCUCCCAGCUGGGCUGUUGGGGCAAGUUUGGUAAAUACCCUCAACAGGCACCUUUGGAAGCAGGAGCGGGUGAUCAGAAAGCAAUGCCUCCCCCAAGCAACCCUCUCACCUCCCUAGCCACCCCCAACCAUGAUCAAAUUCCUAUCCCUGGCUUUGGACUUUCCAGCUGGUUCCCUGAGCUACUCAGCCCAUCAUCCCAAUAACCAGCUUCCUACAACGUCCAUCUCCUAUACCACCAUCCCCCCAACCACUGCUGUCACCAUCCUCUGUCACCUCCAAUCAUCAAAACCCCAUCCGCCCCCACCUUCCUCCUCCUUCUUCAUUCUCAUCCCUACCAUGAGCAGCACUCAUCCAUUCCAACUCAAAAGGUCACUAUCUAAUCCACGAUCUAUCUUACUUCCUGCCUAAAUUCUUUAUGGAGCAAUAAACUUCCACUGGAAUGAUACCCAGACCACAAAUCUGGGACCCAGUGACAGUUCCAGGAGGCCAUGGUGCACCGUCUGUGGCUCAGUUGGUUUCCAAUGGGGUCUAUUCAUAUGGCAUCUGUAAACACUCACAUGAUGCAGAUGCUUCCCUUACUUAAUACCCAUCUGGCCCAGGGUGGGCUGAGGGUGGCCCAGCUGGAUGCAGCACUAUCCCUAAUCUCUCAGAGCAAGCAGCAAGCAGCAAGCAGCAUACCUGGCUUGUUUAAACACACACUUUGCCAGAUGCUGAAGAACAACUAAAAGUGAUCACAGUAGAUCUGCUACCCUGAUCAAUCUUGCCUGUCUAAAGCUCAGAUAAGUCUGUAUAGGACUCUGUUUCCAAAUCUGUCAUUUCUGAUGGUACAUAUGCUGGACUUUUCCUUGCAGGGCAAGCUAAAGUCAAUGGAGUUCACACCCCAAGCAAGAGAAGAGCUUGCCCUAGCCUUCAUCCAGCCUCAUGUGUCUGCGAUUUGGCUAGAAAUUGUUCAGGGGAAUCUUAAUUAGCAUUCACCUGUGGUGUUGUGUUAAAAAAACAAAAAAACAAAAAACACCUCACUUCAGGUUCCAAAGUCUGAGUUGGAGUAAAAAGAUUGUUGGAAUCCAGGAUCCACCAUACAACUGCUAAGCCUGUUUCUUCAUCUGUAAAAUGAGAAUGACAAUGUCUACCUCAUAGGAUAGGUUUGAGGGUAGAGUGUGUUAAAGAACUCUUAAGGACCUUUUGUCAGACCCAGCUUGACCACAAGAUUGAGCUGAAUCUGAAUAAACAUUCUAGAACACUGCCAGAAAAGCUACAUUUACUAUCUCGUCUGACCUAUGUAAUUUGCAGAGUUCUUUUUACAUGGGUUACUUCCAAAAUCAAAAUUAACGUUAUUACUGAUGCUCAGUUAAAACAGCGUAGUAACUUCUGAUUAUUUCUCU
This 2846-nucleotide long non-coding RNA is filed under the name Homo sapiens (human). RNAcentral describes it as "HSALNT0334336". The record is from RNAcentral. Lineage: Eukaryota; Metazoa; Chordata; Mammalia; Primates; Hominidae.